ACUCCUACGGGAGGCAGCAGUAGGGAAUUUUCGGCAAUGGGGGAAACCCUGACCGAGCAACGCCGCGUGAAGGAAGAAGUAAUUCGUUAUGUAAACUUCUGUCAUAGAGGAAGAACGGUGGAUAUAGGGAAUGAUAUCCAAGGACG
RNAcentral lists this ribosomal RNA (146 nucleotides) under uncultured Bacillota bacterium. RNAcentral's name for it is "uncultured Firmicutes bacterium partial 16S ribosomal RNA". It matches the Rfam family "Bacterial small subunit ribosomal RNA", at positions 335 to 474 of the family's 1533-position model. Lineage: Bacteria; Bacillati; Bacillota. The record is from RNAcentral.